CACUGCUCGCAUUAUGCUGUUUUUGUACAGAGGUUCAUCUCUCCAUUUGCUCUCCCUUUUCAUUAUAAAACAGUACAGAUGGAAGAGAACCUUGGGGUCAAAACAGAGGAAGGAAGUGGUGAAGCAAAGAAUGGAGAAUACAACUGAAAUAUCAUUGUAAGGCAACUAUUAAUUGCUUGUCAGUUUUCACUACUGCCUAUUUUCAUAGAUUGCCUGAGGGGGAUUUUCCUUGUGAUUCACAUCAAAUAGAACAGAUACUAUCAAGUGCCCGAAGUUCUGGAGUGUGACUUCUGAAUUGAAUUCUGCAUUCCUGAACUCUAAAGCUAGUUGCCCCAUAACAUCGUUGGUGGAACAUUCCUCAUGGAAGAAGGCUGAUCAAUGGAAUCAAGUGCUUUUUUCUUUGCUGUAUCCUGGAUUUCUGAACCAGACAGUCUUGCUCUCUGAACAACUUCAGUUAAAAAUUCCUCAUGUUCGUAAGUGGGUGAAACUGAUCCUUCUCUUUGUCAUUAUUUGCUGCGUUCACAAACUUUGCUAAUAUCUGCAGUCUGAAGGUUUUUCAGUCAGGAUAUAAAUGGACAACAUUCCCAACACUCCAAUAUAGAAGAGGAAACUCAAUUAUCUGGCAUUCGAUUAACUGAAUUUUGGAUUAUCCGAACAAGAUCGCAAGGUCCCAAUGUCUGUGGUCACAGAUUUCGUUCCUGUUAAUCAUGUGAACCAUCAUAAACCAUCAAAGACACUGGCCACGUUCAACAGAAGACAAAGUGCAGACAGAAGGUGUCAGCAAGCCAAACCUGCUGCCUUUCCAGGACAUUGAGAUCUUGGCUGGCAUUCUGAAACUACAUAAACAUAUUGUAAAAUGUGGAAGGUGUUAUACUUUUGGCUUAUAUAAUCAUUUCAAAGGUUUUCCAGUUAUCAAAUUUGUUGGAAACCACUUUGGGACAUCAUGAGGGUAGUGAAAGGAGCAUUUCACAUUUUUUCUAAAUUCUUCUUGACAUUCUGCUCAGGUGGCCACUCACAUGAAUGGACCAUCAGUACUUUAUGAACAGAAAUAUGUUAUUAUUUGUCAGUAUCGAGGCAAACAAUCACAAAACCAGGAUUAGAACAGAGAGAAUGCACUGUACAUUAUGCACCAAUUUAGCCAAGUGUUGCUUCCAUUGCAACAGUAACUACUCUUCAGAAAGCACUUUGAAACAUCUAAUGGCUGUGAAAAUGUACAAAUUUGGAAACAUGGAAGUAAACAGAAGUAAGCCAUUCGACCCAUCGAUCUUGUUUUGCUACUCAUUAUGGUUAUGGAUUCUUUUCAAAUUCAAUACCCUAAACCCACUUUCCUCCAUUUCCAUUUAGCCACAAGAGCAAUGUCUACUUCCUCUUGAGAAUGUGUUUCUAUGGUAAUGAAUUCCAUAGCUCACCACUCUCUUGGUGAAGAGAUGUCUUCCCAUCGCAGUACUAAAAGGUUUACCCUUUAACCUUAAGCCAUAGCCCAAUAAUUCUGGACCUAACCCAUCAUCGAUAAAUCCUUCCUGCAUCUAAUCUGUCUAGUCCCAUUAGAAUUUUAUCGGUUUCUAGAAGAUUCCCCAAGCCCAUCAAUCUUCUAUUUAGACCUAUAUAAAUAAAACCGUAAAACCCAUAUUAAUGUAGAUCUCUCUCGCUUUUGUUUCACUUGUCACCAUAUGAUUCUUCUUGAAUUUGGUAGGGGUCAAGUAUGACUCAUUUGGUAAUGCUUGACACACUUUAUGGUUUUCUACAUGUUAGCCUGUGCAACAAAUUCUAUGCAGACCAGAUUCUCGCUGAGAUAGAUAUCUUGAAGUUUAUUAAUGACACUCAGUAUUUACAUGGCUACAAUUUUACAAACUUGCACAUACUUUCUGGCUUGUGUGCUUACUGAUGUUAGUUACACAUAGCUGACUGAAGACAUUGUUGAGAGAGAGAGAGAGACAGAGACAGAGACAGAGACAGACAGACAGACAUUGUGAGACACAGAGAGAGAGA
This is a non-coding RNA of Chiloscyllium plagiosum (whitespotted bambooshark), 1989 nucleotides long. The record is from RefSeq and is a predicted model, not a curated record. Lineage: Eukaryota; Metazoa; Chordata; Chondrichthyes; Orectolobiformes; Hemiscylliidae.